This 364-nucleotide RNase P RNA is filed under the name marine eukaryotic metagenome. RNAcentral describes it as "Bacterial RNase P class A". It matches the Rfam family "Bacterial RNase P class A". Rfam says of the family: Ribonuclease P (RNase P) is a ubiquitous endoribonuclease, found in archaea, bacteria and eukarya as well as chloroplasts and mitochondria. Its best characterised activity is the generation of mature 5'-ends of tRNAs by cleaving the 5'-leader elements of precursor-tRNAs. The record is from RNAcentral.
AGAUGGCCAGACAAUCGCGCUUAUAGCAUGUCUAUUUGUGAGGAAAGUCCGGGCUCCAAUGGGCAGAGUGCCAGGUAACGCCUGGGAGGUGAAAGCCUACGGCUAGUGCAACAGAGAGUAUACCGCCUGAUUAUUUUCGAAUGUUAGGUAAGGGUGAAAGGGUGCGGUAAGAGCGCACCGCGUAACUGGCAACAGUUGCGGCAAGGUAAACCCCACUCGGAGCAAGACCAAAUAGAAGAGUAGUUUGUUUCGGCAAACAGAUGCGGCCCGUAUCGCUCUUGGGUAGGUCGCUUGAGGCAAGUAGCGAUGCUUGUCCCAGAUGAAUGAUUGUCCUCGACAGAACCCGGCUUAUCGGCCAUCUCAU